Molecule: ribosomal RNA, 315 nt
Filed under: uncultured bacterium
Lineage: Bacteria
Description: bacterial SSU rRNA
Rfam family: Bacterial small subunit ribosomal RNA
Source: RNAcentral
GAAGAUACCUUCGGGAUAGAUAAGGCCGGUAGAAAGUGGCGACCGGGAUGAGUAGCGCGUGGGUAAUCUACCCUGGAAGGAGGGGGAUAACCCUCCGAAAGGAGGGGCUAAUGCCGCAUAACAUCUUCCCUUCAUAAGAAGGAGAGAAUAAAAGAAAGGCCUCUUUAUAUGCUAUCACUUCAGGAUGAGUCCGCGUCCUAAUAGUUAGAUUGGUAGGGUAAUGGCCUACCAAGACCACAAUGGAGAUAACCAGUCUGAGAGGAUGUACGGCCACACUGGGACUGAGAUACGGCCCAGACUCCUACGGGAGGCAGC